Molecule: ribosomal RNA, 254 nt
Filed under: uncultured bacterium
Lineage: Bacteria
Description: partial 16S ribosomal RNA
Rfam family: Bacterial small subunit ribosomal RNA
Source: RNAcentral
UACGUAGGGCGCAAGCGUUAUCCGGAAUUAUUGGGCGUAAAGAGCUCGUAGGCGGUUUGUCGCGUCUGCCGUGAAAGUCCGGGGGCUCAACUCCGGAUCUGCGGUGGGUACGGGCAGACUAGAGUGAUGUAGGGGAGACUGGAACUCCUGGUGUAGCGGUGAAAUGCGCAGAUAUCAGGAGGAACACCGAUGGCGAAGGCAGGUCUCUGGGCCACUACUGACGCUGAGAAGCGAAAGCAUGGGUAGCGAACAGG